RNAcentral lists this long non-coding RNA (1361 nucleotides) under Fukomys damarensis (Damara mole-rat). RNAcentral describes it as "lncRNA (ENSFDAG00000026360.1)". The record is from RNAcentral. Lineage: Eukaryota; Metazoa; Chordata; Mammalia; Rodentia; Bathyergidae.
UUCUGCGCUGUUUGUUUUCCCAGUGCUAAAGAUGAACCCAGGGCCUUGCGCAUAUCAGGCAACUGCUCUACCACUGAGCUGUGCUCUACUCCAAGUCCUGUUUUUCAAAAAUUAUUUACAGGUGGGAAUUUAUAGUUCAGUGAAUGAGCAAGUAAUCUUUUGGGGAAGUUAUUUCUAUGCUGUUUGUGGGCUAGAAAGACUGCAAAGAGGAAAGGGAAGGGGUCGAAUCGCCCAGCAAGGAGUUGGCUACAGCACAAAUGCUUCCUGUCACUCUGUCCCCAGUGGAGGUUUAAAGAGCCUGAAAAACGACAGCAUCAUGGACUUCAGACUGGAAGUCAACAUUACCCAACAGACUUGGGCUGCAGAGGUCAGUAUCUUCCUUGUGGAAAAAGUGCCUGGCUCCAACUCACUCAAAGGCAUCAUCCCUGGAAAGGCCAGAGAUGUGAAAUGUCUCUCCUCAGUGGAUCCCAGGUGCUCCUCCUAAACUCAUCGACCUCUCCCCUGAAACACACAGACCCCUCCUCCCUGGCCUCUCACAAAGCAUCUUCCCCUCCCCUCAGAGAGUAGCCCCUCCUCGCACUCUCGGUCCCCUCAAACUAUCUACACCACCCAGUCAAGAAGAGCUAUUGCAAAGCAUGGUGGCAUAUACCCGUAAUCCCUGAUACUUGGAAGGCUGAGGCAGGAGGGUUACAAGGUGGAAGCCAGAUGGGAAACUUAGUAACUUAGCAAGACUCUGCCUCAAAAUAAAAACAAAAAACAAAAAAUAAAGCGUGGAAGGUAACUUUUUUUAACCUUCUCAAUUUUCAUCAUCAAAUAUCAUAAAGAAAAAGGAGGAAGAGAACUUCCAAUACCUUGUACUCAUAAAACACAAAUUUAGAUAAUAGAAAGACUUCUUAUUCUGUAAUAUGCAGCCUCCAAGAACCAAGUGUUUGCAAAGAGCCAAUGUUCUACUAAGGGCUCCACUCAUGGGUGCCCGUGUAGACCUGAACACCAGCCAAGGCCACACGAUGGAACUCAAGGACACGGUCACUUACUUCAGGAUGCCGAUGCCGCAAGUGGCAGAGAAUCAGUGCAUGUGACACAAGAGAACAAAAAACUACCUAGUCCAAGGUGACUGAUCCAGUGACAUUAACAUUCUGAAAGUCAGCACUGCAAGAAAAAGCCAUUUUUGGCUUUAAACUCAACUGGACUUGAACCACCCCAGGGAAGCUGGCUUUAUCCCCAGUGAGGGGCCCCUUCUCUCCAAGGGAGCGGGACCACAUCACCUUCUGCAUUUCAUACGGCGUGGAAUCUCCACCACGUAGGCCUCCUUAGCAUGCAGUUCCCGAAAGCAGUGAAACGAAGAGAACCCUUCCCCAAAG